UUAUUUUCCACUUUCCCUUGACAUUGUCAUCUUCAAGAGUGCUCCCUGAUUGCUGCCAUUGGAACUCGAAGCUCCGUUCCCUUCUUCUUUGGGUGGUGUUCAAGCUAAAUCCAUGGUGGAUCUUAGUUGAAUUCUUAAUAUCAGCUUCACUCUUCUCAGGUGAGAAAUGUUGCAUUUGUAAGAUCUUCUUCUGUGUUUUCAAAAGUAAAAUCUUCCUCCCGUUUUUCGUCAGGUAGUCUUGGGUCUGCAAAAGACCAGCUUUCCAGAUGCUGGAACGUCUCCCUAUCCCUACCUUUUGGUGAUCUUCCAGGCAUACUGUUAAACCCUCCUUUCUAUGCUCUUUAAUUUCCUUUGUUGCUGCUGCUACCUGUUGCACUCUGUUAUAUUUGUACAUAUGCAUGCUACUUACUAUGUUGAUUAUUACUGAACUAUUGAUCCUUGUCAAUGUUUAGAAGCCACCUUGUUUUCACUGUUACCUGUUGGUAUGAGUGGUAUUCUUGCAUGUCUUGUGUCUCUAUUAUUGCAUUUGCCAAAGAGUCGGGCACUGAGUUGCCUUCUCUAAAUAUAUG
This 569-nucleotide long non-coding RNA is filed under the name Capsicum annuum. Its description in RNAcentral is "long non-coding RNA (CANN_LNC011897)". Lineage: Eukaryota; Viridiplantae; Streptophyta; Magnoliopsida; Solanales; Solanaceae. The record is from RNAcentral.